UACAGAGGUCUCAAGCGUUGUUCGGAUUCAUUGGGCGUAAAGGGUGCGUAGGCGGCGAGGCAAGUCUGGUGUGAAAUCCCGGGGCUCAACCCCGGAACUGCACUGGAUGCUGCUUUGCUAGAGUACUGGAGAGGGAACUGGAAUUUACGGUGUAGCAGUGAAAUGCGUAGAUAUCGUAAGGAAGACCAGCGGCGAAGGCGAGUUCCUGGACAGUUACUGACGCUGAGGCACGAAGGCCAGGGGAGCAAACGGG
This 253-nucleotide ribosomal RNA is filed under the name uncultured bacterium. Its description in RNAcentral is "partial 16S ribosomal RNA". It matches the Rfam family "Bacterial small subunit ribosomal RNA", at positions 524 to 776 of the family's 1533-position model. The record is from RNAcentral.